Molecule: transfer RNA, 84 nt
Filed under: Agathobaculum phage AB434P2
Lineage: Duplodnaviria; Heunggongvirae; Uroviricota; Caudoviricetes
Also listed under: 1 other name
Description: tRNA-Leu
Rfam family: tRNA
About the family: Transfer RNA (tRNA) molecules are approximately 80 nucleotides in length. Their secondary structure includes four short double-helical elements and three loops (D, anti-codon, and T loops).
Source: RNAcentral
GCCACUAUGAUGGAAUGGUAGACAUAGAGGACUUAAAAUCCUUGGCCAAUUGGCAUAUGGGUUCGAAUCCCAUUAGUGGUACCA